This 29-nucleotide non-coding RNA is filed under the name Mus musculus (house mouse). The record is from RNAcentral. Lineage: Eukaryota; Metazoa; Chordata; Mammalia; Rodentia; Muridae.
UCAUAAGCAAGUGUGCAAUUGAGGGCUGA